GACGAACGCUGGCGGCAUGCCUAACACAUGCAAGUCGAACGAGACCUUCGGGUCUAGUGGCGCACGGGUUCGUAACGCGUGGGAACCUGCCUUUAGGUUCUGACUCACUCCCCGAAAGGGGUGCUAAUACCGGCUACUGUUUUCGCACCACGUAUUUAUCUCCUUUGGAUGGGCCCGCGUUGGAUUAGCUAGUUGGUAGGGUAAAGGCCUACCAAGGCGACGAUCAAUAGCUGGUCUGAGAGGAUGAUCAGCCACAUUGGGACUGAGACACGGCCCAGACUCCUACGGGAGGCAGCAGUGGGGAAUAUUGGACAAUGGGGGAAAGCCUGAUCCAGCAAUGCCGCGUGAGGGAAGAAGGUUUUAGGAUUGUAAAGCUCUGUUGCCGGGGAUAAAAAUGAUAGUACCGGGAGAGAAAGCUACGGCUAACUACGUG
RNAcentral lists this ribosomal RNA (433 nucleotides) under uncultured bacterium. RNAcentral's name for it is "partial 16S ribosomal RNA". It matches the Rfam family "Bacterial small subunit ribosomal RNA", at positions 28 to 507 of the family's 1533-position model. The record is from RNAcentral.